This 506-nucleotide ribosomal RNA is filed under the name uncultured bacterium. RNAcentral's name for it is "partial 16S ribosomal RNA". It matches the Rfam family "Bacterial small subunit ribosomal RNA", at positions 29 to 523 of the family's 1533-position model. The record is from RNAcentral.
AGUGAACGCUGGCGGUAGGCCUAACACAUGCAAGUCGAACGGCAGCACAGAGGAGCUUGCUCCUUGGGUGGCGAGUGGCGGACGGGUGAGGAAUACAUCGGAAUCUACUCUGUCGUGGGGGAUAACGUAGGGAAACUUACGCUAAUACCGCAUACGACCUACGGGUGAAAGCAGGGGACCUUCGGGCCUUGCGCGAUUGAAUGAGCCGAUGUCGGAUUAGCUAGUUGGCGGGGUAAAGACCCACCAAGGCGACGAUCCGUAGCUGGUCUGAGAGGAUGAUCAGCCACACUGGAACUGAGACACGGUCCAGACUCCUACGGGAGGCAGCAGUGGGGAAUAUUGGACAAUGGGCGCAAGCCUGAUCCAGCCAUACCGCGUGGGUGAAGAAGGCCUUCGGGUUGUAAGGCCCUUUUGUUGGGAAAGAAAUCCAGCUGGCUAAUACCCGGUUGGGAUGACGGUACCCAAAGAAUAAGCACCGGCUAACUUCGUGCCAGCCGCCGCGGUAA